RNAcentral lists this ribosomal RNA (441 nucleotides) under uncultured bacterium. Its description in RNAcentral is "partial 16S ribosomal RNA". It matches the Rfam family "Bacterial small subunit ribosomal RNA", at positions 338 to 795 of the family's 1533-position model. The record is from RNAcentral.
CCUACGGGAGGCAGCAGUGGGGAAUAUUGCACAAUGGGGGAAACCCUGAUGCAGCGACGCCGCGUGAGUGAAGAAGUAUUUCGGUAUGUAAAGCUCUAUCAGCAGGGAAGAAGAAAGACGGUACCUGACUAAGAAGCCCCGGCUAACUACGUGCCAGCAGCCGCGGUAAUACGUAGGGGGCAAGCGUUAUCCGGAUUUACUGGGUGUAAAGGGAGCGUAGACGGAGAAGCAAGUCUGAAGUGAAAGCCCGUUGCUUAACCACGGGACUGCUUUGGAAACUGUUUGACUAGAGUGCUGGAGAGGUAAGUGGAAUUCCUAGUGUAGCGGUGAAAUGCGUAGAGAUUAGGAGGAACACCAGUGGCGAAGGCGGCUUACUGGACAGUAACUGACGUUGAGGCUCGAAAGCGUGGGGAGCAAACAGGAUUAGAUACCCGAGUAGUC